This is an RNA transcript of Cucumis melo (muskmelon), 3194 nucleotides long. It is a transcript of the gene named BTB/POZ domain-containing protein At1g63850, with no coding region annotated. The transcript is spliced from 3 exons. Lineage: Eukaryota; Viridiplantae; Streptophyta; Magnoliopsida; Cucurbitales; Cucurbitaceae. The record is from RefSeq and is a predicted model, not a curated record.
UUAGAAAACGAACAACAACAUUCGAUUCAAUUCCUUCAAUCAUUACAUGAACAAACCAAGACAACAUUAUCAAAUCCCCUCCUUUAACAAAGCCAUUGAAGAACCUUGUGGGGACUCUCUGCCAUUAUAAUGGAGAUUUAGCUUUUCCUUCUCAUCAUCGUCUUCUUCUUCUUCAUCUUCUUCUUCUUCAUCUUCUUCUUCAUCUUCAUCUUCUUCUUUAAGUCUUAAAUUCCCUAUAUAGGUUUUCUCUUGUGUUGUGUUGUAUUUAUUGCACUUCCUUCUUUCCUGUGUUCUUCUGUCUUUUUCUUAUCUGUCUCGUUUCCACCGCCAUUUUUAAUUCCUAAUUUUCUCUAUGUUUAAUCGUGAAUUCCAAAAACCCCAUUAACCCAUUUCCCCUUUUCUUUGAUUAAUUCGCUGAAAGCUUAUGGUUUGAGCUAAAGGACAAUUUUUUUUAACAUUAAACCCCAUUGGGUACUUAUCAAUGGCUGUGCCCGCAUCUACAACCACAACUACCACCACCAACGCUUCUACUAAUUCCAUUUCUUCUUCUUCUUCUUCUUCUAUUCCUAAUCAACCCACUAAGCUUAAGCGUCGAAAGUGUCGAGAUAUCACUGUUUCCGCUAAAUCUGACUCGUUUUCAUCUUCUUCUUCCAAUUCCUCAUCUGGGUUACAAGGAUUUUCUCAUCGAAAGCUUGAUCGCCCUGUUGUCAUUGUUCCUUCAGAGAAUUCUUGGUGUUGUCCUGCUUCUAAACCCUCUUCAACCCCUCCUGCUCUUCCUCUUCCUCCUCCUCCGCCGCCCCCACCUCCGCCUCCGUCGGAUUCUCAUCGAAGGGUUACUUCUCCCACACCCACUAACGGGAAUCGAACAUCGGAUUCGGUAAUAUCGCCUUCUGAUUCACCGUCUGCUUUCCGGAUACGGUUUUCUCCUGGAACUCUUUCUCCGGUAAUGGAUUUCACGACGUCUUCUUCCGGUGCUGCGUUUAAUGGUCAUUCUGGAUCGAGUCAUGACUCUUUCCCUUCUGGGUUUUCGAAGUUCAACUCCGCUCUGACCGCCGGGCUUUUGAACCCAAUGUCGCCGCCGCCGUCUACUGAUAAAACCCGAUCGAGUCCGACCCUUUUUGAAAUGAUGGCUAGUGAGCCUGAUAUUCACCCUAGAACUUCUCAGAUCCCUCCCCAGGUUGCCUCUGUUUCGGUUCAUAAGAAUCAAGUUCCUAUUCAGGACAAGCAGGCGUUGAUGAUGCAGAGGAUUUCUGAGAUUUUGGGAUCUCGGAGCCCUGGAAAUCAGUUCAAUGACGCUUCUAGCAGUGACAUUAAGCUCACAUUGAGUUCUAGAGAUGGGAUCAGUGUAUCGAUGAGUGUUCACCGGCAAAUUCUUGUUGCUCAUAGUCGGUUUUUCGCAUUGAAGCUCUCGGAACGGUGGGCGAAACAACAGCGGUCUCCGUCUCCAUACAUUGUGGAGAUUGCUGACUGUGAUGAUGUUGAAGUGUACAUUGAAACCUUGAAAUUGAUGUAUUGUAGAGAUCUGAGGAAGAGGCUGAUGAAGGAAGACGUUCCCAGAGUUCUUGGAAUUCUGAAGGUCUCGGCUGCUAUUGGAUUUGAUGCGGGUGUUUUAUCUUGUUUGGAGUACUUGGAAGCCGCCCCAUGGGCCGAGGAUGAAGAAGAGAAGGUGGCUUCACUCUUAUCUGAGCUGCACCUUGAAGGUGUUGCAGCAGGGGAAGUUCUAAAGAGGGUCUCGGUUGAAGUUACCAAUGGACCUGAAGAUGGCAACGACAAUGAAGAAGUGUUACUGAAGCUUCUACAUGUAGUUCUUGAAGGAAAAGACGAGAAGGCAAGACGGGAGAUGAAAGGAUUAGUUUCAAAGAUGCUUCGUGAGAGUUCCUCGCAAAAUGACCUUCGAAAAGAAUCCUUGUAUUCAGCUUGUGAUGGUUGUCUGCAGUUGCUCCGCAAUCAAUUUAUGCGAGCGGUAGGGUCGGAUUUUCAUGGUGUUGGGGAGAUUGCUAAGCAAGCUGAUAAUUUGCAUUGGAUUUUAGAUAUCUUGAUUGAUAGACAGAUUGCUGAAGAUUUUUUAAAAACCUGGGCAUCUCAAUCUGAAUUGUCAGCUGCACACUCUAAGGUGCCUGCCGUUCACAGAUUUGAGAUCAGUCGAGUUACAGCUCGGUUAUUUGUUGGUAUCGGAAAAGGCCAACUCCUGGCUCCUAAAGAUGUGAGAUAUCAGCUUUUGCAGACCUGGUUGGUGCCAUUUUAUGAUGAUUUUGGUUGGAUGAGGAGAGCAUCGAGAGGCCUCGAUCGCCACCUCAUUGAGGAUGGUCUUAGCAAUACAAUUCUCACUCUACCAUUAGCUUGGCAACAAGACAUAUUGCUAGCUUGGUUCAAUAGAUUCAUGAAUUCAGGUGAAGAUUGUCCUAAUAUACAACGAGGGUUCGAAGUCUGGUGGAGAAGGGCCUUCUGGAGACGCAGUGGUGAACAAGAACGACCUCGACCAAUUCGAAUUGCCACCCCAUCGACAGAGAAUUCGUGAAGCGCUCUUGUUUCAAAGGACAUAUAGCUUAGUUCAUAAUAACUAAUGGGUUUGUUCUUUCUCUGAUCACUGGAGGCCUCAUUCCUUGGUAUUGGUUAGUUAGGAUCUUCUUCCUUCCUAAACCAGGAGCAUCCUAUGGAAGACCCAAUGUACCUGAGGUUAGGUUGGAAGAAGAUAAUAAAUGCUAUAUAUUUCACACGUAACAAAACGAAAUGAAACAGAUGUCAUCGGCAAGGCAAUUCCCAAGAGGAGUGUACAACGGAUGAUACCGAAACUCAUAUUGUUAAAUACGAUGAGCGAAGAUUUGAUCAACCAAUCCAUGUUUGUCCUCUGCCUUGUCAUUUGAUAUGUUGCAAGAAGAGAAAGGGAGAGAAACAAGUGUGAGUGAUGUUUAUGAGUUGCAAGUUGCAAUCAAACUUAACAGUGGUUGGAAUAGAUAUAGAUAGUUGGAAGUUGAAAUCUGGUUUGGUUUGUUUGAGAAUCAUAAGUUGUAUAUGUUUUGGCUUUUUUUUUUUUUUUUUUUUUUUUUUGACUUUUUAGUUUGGAAUGAUGUUCUUUGCAGCACGUUUGGUGAAAGAACAUUGCGUUGAUUGUUCCUUUCCCAUUCUGCCAAAAAGUUUGCUUCCUUAAAGUAUUCAAUGAAUAAUAUUCCAUUUGGAAUCAUAUUUACAUCUCA